RNAcentral lists this ribosomal RNA (350 nucleotides) under Haemaphysalis longicornis (longhorned tick). RNAcentral's name for it is "partial 12S ribosomal RNA". The record is from RNAcentral. Lineage: Eukaryota; Metazoa; Arthropoda; Arachnida; Ixodida; Ixodidae.
CCCUAUUAUUAAGAAAAAUUAUAUUGUUAGUAUAUAAAUUGUAUGAAAACAAAAAAUUAUGGCGGUAUUUUAAGCUUUUCAGAGGAAUUUGCUCUUUAAUGGAUAAAACACCUAAAUCUUACUAAAUUUAGUUAAGCAGUUUGUAUACCACUAUUUAAGUAAUAAUUUGCUAUUAUUACUAAAAUUUAUAUUAAUUAAAAAAAGUUAAGUCAAGGUGCAGCAUAAAUUUUAGUAUGAAGUGAAUUACAUUUCUUUUAAGAAAAAUUUGUUGAAAAUAAAAUUUAGGAUUUGAAAGUAAAAUUUUAAUAGAAGGAAAAUUUGAAUUAAGCUCUAAAAUAUGUACACAUCGC